AGUCUAAUAAGUGAGCAAUUAUAACAAAAAAGCUAACAUGAUUAGAGCACAACUGUUUACAUAAAUGACAACUGACCCGAGCAAUUAACGACGGUGUUAGGUAGAUUUACUCCGUUUCGGCAUGUGAAACUGUAACUACGAAGGUCUGUUACUCUUUUUGUUAUCCAUUUACAGGUUGAAAUAGAAAGACGGUCACAGUCAAAACAAUUGCUG
RNAcentral lists this long non-coding RNA (213 nucleotides) under Mytilus galloprovincialis (Mediterranean mussel). The record is from RNAcentral. Lineage: Eukaryota; Metazoa; Mollusca; Bivalvia; Mytilida; Mytilidae.